UUCGACACACUAUCAUUAACUGAAUCCAUAGGUUAAUGAGGCGAACCGGGGGAACUGAAACAUCUAAGUACCCCGAGGAAAAGAAAUCAACCGAGAUUCCCCCAGUAGCGGCGAGCGAACGGGGAGGAGCCCAGAGCCUGAAUCAGUGUGUGUGUUAGUGGAAGCGUCUGGAAAGGCGCGCGAUACAGGGUGACAGCCCCGUACACAAAAAUGCACAUAUUGUGAGCUCGAUGAGUAGGGCGGGACACGUGGUAUCCUGUCUGAAUAUGGGGGGACCAUCCUCCAAGGCUAAAUACUCCUGACUGACCGAUAGUGAACCAGUACCGUGAG
RNAcentral lists this ribosomal RNA (330 nucleotides) under Escherichia coli. RNAcentral describes it as "partial 23S ribosomal RNA". It matches the Rfam family "Bacterial large subunit ribosomal RNA", at positions 139 to 507 of the family's 2925-position model. The record is from RNAcentral. Lineage: Bacteria; Pseudomonadati; Pseudomonadota; Gammaproteobacteria; Enterobacterales; Enterobacteriaceae.